AAUGGCAUUCAGCAGCCAAGUUGUUCAUAUGCUGUAAGCGUGUUGUCUACUAAUUCAGCAUAGUUUUCAGCUCGUUCUGCACUACUAGCACAAAUGCAUCCCAAGCUGCAAGUUCCACAGGGUUGAGUUUUGUUCUGAAUGUGUCAUCAUGCAUUAGUUUGUUGAUUUCACGGCCAAUAAAAAUGUUGCCCUUUUUAUUUUAGCAUCUGUUUUCAGUGUGCUAAACUUCUUCAAAUACUGGAAACAAUUUCCAUCACGAUCAAGUGUAAUUACAACAUUUUUCAUUAAACAAAGUUUAAAGAGGACCUUUCACCUGAAAAUGCAAGUUAAACUAAAGAUAUACCUUUACUCGCCGGCCCCCGGUGGUGCUUAUUCAGCCUCAAGCCUUAUAUCCCUUUCAGAGGAUACAAAUCGACCACAUCCAGAUGCCAAUGUGCCAAGGGUUUCAAUAUGUGCUGGUAGUAAUAGACUUGUUCUCUGGGUAGCCAGAAGCCUACCCUGUCCGAAAUCAGACAGCAACUACUACUGCUAAAAAACUGAUGCAGGAGCUUGUCUGUAGGUUUGGAGUACCUGAGGUCAUUGAGAGUGAUCAGGGCCCAGCAUUUACUGCCAGAUUAACCCAAGAAGUCUGGGAAAUGGUAGGGUCGCACCUGGCGUAUCACACCCCCUACAGGCCCCAAAGCAGUGGCAAAGUUGAAAAAUUGAAAGGGGUGUUGAAGUAAAAAAUGUUGAAGAUGAUCAGGGAGACAGGGCUCAAUUGGGUUCAGUGCUUGCCUAUAGCACUCUUUUCAGUUAGGCACACACCAAGGCCUCCACAAAAAAUGACACCAUACGAGAUCCUAUUUGGGACAGGGCCAAGAAUGGGACAGUAUUUCCUGCAACAGUUGCAAAUGCAUUAUGAAUCUGUUGCCAAAUAUGUGAUAGCUAUGAGUAAACAAUUGUCUAACAUACAUGCACAAGUUUUCUCUUCCAUUCCAGAUCCUAACUCCCUAGAAGGAAGCCACACUCUGAAACCUGGAGAGUGGGUGGUGGUCAAAAAGCAUAUCAGAAGCACCCUCGAACCACCAUACGAGCUGACAAGAUGGAGGAUCAAGCAAUUGACAGCAAAACGCUGAUCAGGCUGCUACAGGAGAGGCGAUUCCUGUACGACAUGCAGGAUCCCCAGUACAAGAACUGGAGAAUCAGGCAGCAGGCGUGGGAAGCCAUUGGAAAGAAGAUAUGGCCAGAGUGGGAUAGUUUGACCAAGCAAGUGAAAGAGGCAAAAGUAAAUACCCUAAAAUUAAAAUGGAAAAGCCUGAAGGAUGCCUUCAUGCGGCAUCAAUGAAAGGAGCGGGAGUAUAGAAGUGGAGCUGCUGCAAUGGCCCCAGCAAGCUAUAUCCACUCUGAGCAAUUGACUUUUCUGGUGCCCUGCUCAGAGAUGCGUAGCACUGACAGUAGCUGGAAUGCUACCGAGAGGCAGGAUGAGGAAGAUGAGGAGGCCACCAGUGAAAGCAGCGCCUGCGUCUCUACUGGGACUGCUAAUACAACGCCACCAAAUCCAACAUCACCAUCACAAACCCCCACACCUACUGCCCCACCUGCCCAGGAACCGACCAGUGGUAGGGCCAAUCCAAGAACAAGAAGAAAGAGGUCGAAACGAGAUGAGGACCGGCUGAUAGAUUGCCUGGAUGCCAUGGCCCAUCCGGUCCCAAGGCUAUCAUGCGAGGCCCAUUUCCUCCUCAGCUUGGAGGACAAAAUGAAAAUGGUGCCCAGGAAUCGACAGACUGAAGCACGGGAAGCAUUAACACGCUGUCUGGACUCCUUCAUUCCACCUGAAUGUACCACACAUCUGCAUACUGCACCUCUACAUGCACCACCCAUGCACAUACACACAUCUCAAACAUACCCACAUCACGACACAUGGCAGCCACGCACACAAACACAGAUUGGUGCCCGCUCACGUGGAAUGAGGGAGGAAUUGCAGGAGGAUGCGCCGGAUUUUGCCUUCCCACAUUGCCAAAAUUUGUGAGAUUUUAGAUCUGUCACUCUAGGCACCUUUUUCAUUUUGCCCUCCAGGGUGUUUAACCACGUUGAGGAGGAAAAAUGCCGUGCACCUUGUCUUUGUUUUGAGACUUUGUUUUCUAGAAAUUUUGCACUUGUUUCUUUGCCACGUUUGCACUUUUAAUUAUUAUAAUUUUAUUAA
This is a long non-coding RNA of Bufo gargarizans (Asiatic toad), 2182 nucleotides long. RefSeq lists it as uncharacterized. The record is from RefSeq and is a predicted model, not a curated record. The transcript has 4 exons. Lineage: Eukaryota; Metazoa; Chordata; Amphibia; Anura; Bufonidae.